Molecule: ribosomal RNA, 176 nt
Filed under: uncultured bacterium
Lineage: Bacteria
Description: partial 16S ribosomal RNA
Rfam family: Bacterial small subunit ribosomal RNA
Source: RNAcentral
UACUCCUACGGGAGGCAGCAGUGAGGAAUCUUCCACAAUGGACGAAAGUCUGAUGGAGCAACUCCGCGUGCAGGAUGAAGGCCUUCGGGUCGUAAACUGCUUUUAUGAGUGAAGAAUAUGACGGUAACUCAUGAAUAAGGGUUCCGGCUAACUACGUGCCAGCAGCCGCGGUAAUA